This 608-nucleotide ribosomal RNA is filed under the name Leucosporidium fragarium. Its description in RNAcentral is "eukaryotic LSU rRNA". It matches the Rfam family "Eukaryotic large subunit ribosomal RNA", at positions 53 to 658 of the family's 3401-position model. The record is from RNAcentral. Lineage: Eukaryota; Fungi; Basidiomycota; Microbotryomycetes; Leucosporidiales; Leucosporidiaceae.
GAGGAAAAGAAACUAACAAGGAUUCCCCUAGUAACGGCGAGUGAAGCGGGAAGAGCUCAAAUUUGUAAUCUGGCACUUUCAGUGUCCGAGUUGUAAUCUCGAGAAGUAUUUUCCGCGCCGGACCGCAUACAAGUCUGUUGGAAUACAGCGUCAUAGUGGUGAGAACCCCGUAACUGAUGCGGAUGCCCGGUGCUUUGUGAUAUACUUUCGAAGAGUCGAGUUGUUUGGGAAUGCAGCUCAAAUUGGGUGGUAAAUUCCAUCUAAAGCUAAAUAUUGGAGCAAGACCGAUAGCGAACAAGUACCGUGAGGGAAAGAUGAAAAGCACUUUGGAAAGAGAGUUAACAGUACGUGAAAUUGUUGGAAGGGAAACGCUUGAAGUCAGACUUGCUAUUCGGAGUUCAGCCGCAAGGUGUAUUCUUCGAUUCGCAGGCCAGCAUCAGUUUUUGGGGGUGAAAAAUCGCGGUUUGAAGGUAGCAACUUCGGUUGUGUUAUAGCUUUCCGCUGGAUUCAUCCUCGGGGACUGAGGAACGCAGUACGCUUUUUGCAAGGCUCUCGAGCUUUUCGUACUUAGGAUGCUGGUGGAAUGGCUUUAAACGACCCGUCUUGAA